Molecule: ribosomal RNA, 576 nt
Filed under: Salmonella enterica subsp. enterica serovar Infantis
Lineage: Bacteria; Pseudomonadati; Pseudomonadota; Gammaproteobacteria; Enterobacterales; Enterobacteriaceae
Also listed under: 4 other names
Description: partial 23S ribosomal RNA
Rfam family: Bacterial large subunit ribosomal RNA
Source: RNAcentral
AGACCCGAAACCCGGUGAUCUAGCCAUGGGCAGGUUGAAGGUUGGGUAACACUAACUGGAGGACCGAACCGACUAAUGUUGAAAAAUUAGCGGAUGACCUGUGGCUGGGGGUGAAAGGCCAAUCAAACCGGGAGAUAGCUGGUUCUCCCCGAAAGCUAUUUAGGUAGCGCCUCGUGAAUUCAUCUCCGGGGGUAGAGCACUGUUUCGGCUAGGGGGCCAUCCCGGCUUACCAACCCGAUGCAAACUGCGAAUACCGGAGAAUGUUAUCACGGGAGACACACGGCGGGUGCUAACGUCCGUCGUGAAGAGGGAAACAACCCAGACCGCCAGCUAAGGUCCCAAAGUCAUGGUUAAGUGGGAAACGAUGUGGGAAGGCCCAGACAGCCAGGAUGUUGGCUUAGAAGCAGCCAUCAUUUAAAGAAAGCGUAAUAGCUCACUGGUCGAGUCGGCCUGCGCGGAAGAUGUAACGGGGCUAAACCAUGCACCGAAGCUGCGGCAGCGAACGUAUCACUUAAAGCGAUUCAGCGGGUUACGAUUGACGGAGCGAAGCGACGUCAAAGCGUAUACAAAGUCGAG